Molecule: transfer RNA, 72 nt
Filed under: Gammaproteobacteria bacterium
Lineage: Bacteria; Pseudomonadati; Pseudomonadota; Gammaproteobacteria
Description: tRNA-Gln
Rfam family: tRNA
About the family: Transfer RNA (tRNA) molecules are approximately 80 nucleotides in length. Their secondary structure includes four short double-helical elements and three loops (D, anti-codon, and T loops).
Source: RNAcentral
UCGGGUGUAGCAUAAUGGCAAUGCAACAGGUUUUGAUCCUGUCGAUUGGAGGUUCGAAUCCUUCCACCCGAG